UGCCUUUAUGUGUUGCCCGUCCGUUUUCUUAGAUGGAUGUGGUGUCAAAUAAGGCGCACAGAAUCUCUUAUAAUGGCUACUUCCGGUCACACAAAUCCCUCUGGUUUCUGUGAAGCGCUGUGAUAAGGACACGA
Hemibagrus wyckioides is the source of this 134-nucleotide small nucleolar RNA. RefSeq annotates it as small nucleolar RNA SNORA13. The record is from RefSeq and is a predicted model, not a curated record. Lineage: Eukaryota; Metazoa; Chordata; Actinopteri; Siluriformes; Bagridae. The transcript has a single exon.